This 315-nucleotide ribosomal RNA is filed under the name uncultured bacterium. RNAcentral describes it as "bacterial SSU rRNA". It matches the Rfam family "Bacterial small subunit ribosomal RNA", at positions 1076 to 1390 of the family's 1533-position model. The record is from RNAcentral.
CGGGUUAAGUCCCGCACGAGCGCAACCCUCGUCGUAUGUUGCCAGCGGGUAAUGCCGGGGACUCAUACGAGACUGCCGGGGUCAACUCGGAGGAAGGUGGGGAUGACGUCAAGUCAUCAUGCCCCUUAUGUCUAGGGCUGCACGCAUGCUACAAUGGCCGGUACAAAGGGCUGCGAUACCGCGAGGUGGAGCGAAUCCCAAAAAGCCGGUCUCAGUUCGGAUUGGGGUCUGCAACUCGACCCCAUGAAGUCGGAGUCGCUAGUAAUCGCAGAUCAGCAACGCUGCGGUGAAUACGUUCCCGGGCCUUGUACACAC